AGACCGAGAGAUUUAGCCUUCCAUUACAAACGUCAGCCUCUCCCUUGUUUUUUUUUUCUUUUUCUUUUCGGAAACAGGGCAUCCCCUGUUUCUUCUCUAUUUUUUUUCUGGAAUGGCCGAGAGCCUCUAUUUUUUCGAAUGAGACCACCCCCCAUAGCCGAGAGCUAUAUGCCCCUUAUACUCAACUCUUCCCCCCCCCCUCCUGUUUAUUCUUGGAAAGCCAAUCUAAAUUCAGAAUUAUCCUCCUAACAAAUCAAACAAAAUUCUCAAUCAAAUUUGCUGUGAUUCUGAUGGGAUUUUGUUGGAAGGAGGAACGCUAGAAUGAAGCACAUCACAGCUAGCUGCAAGAUAUGGAAAGCUCGGACAUAAGGUUGGAGAUGGGCGGCUGGAUGCUGGAUCUCGAACUCGGACGGACGCGUGGGAGGUGCUGGAAAGAUGGGCUGCCAAUCCGCUGCUGUGAACGUGGGAUGCUGAUGAAGGAAGACUGAAUGCGGGAGAUGCUUCGCGGGAUAGGCGGAUGGAUCGGAAGGAAUGGAUGCUGACCUCGGUUGGGAGGAAGGCUGAUCGCAAACUCCGGAAGCAUCGUGGACGGCUGAGGAAGUCUGAGACGCGGAUCUGGAAGCAAGGGAUGCGGGUUCCUCAAAUCUGGGAGGUGGCUGGGACUCGGAAGGAAGCUGAGACACUUGUGGAAGGAGGAAUGUGCUGUUAAGGCGGAAGAUUGCACGCGGACAGCUGAAAUUCGGGAAGUGAAUCACGGACGCGGGCGCUUGGGAUCAAUCUGGAAUGUUGGAAUUGCGGACUCAGAAGCUUUGAAACGGGGAAAGAGGCAGACGCGGGAUGCUGGGAGAUUGCACGCCGGCUCGGACGGACGCAUGGAAUGCAAGGGAAAAUGCGUAAGAAAGCUGGGACGCUAGAACACGGACCCCUCCCUUGUUUUUGCAUAGCUUACGG
This 951-nucleotide long non-coding RNA is filed under the name Phoenix dactylifera (date palm). Its description in RNAcentral is "long non-coding RNA (PDAC_LNC007409)". Lineage: Eukaryota; Viridiplantae; Streptophyta; Magnoliopsida; Arecales; Arecaceae. The record is from RNAcentral.